RNAcentral lists this long non-coding RNA (394 nucleotides) under Helianthus annuus (common sunflower). RNAcentral describes it as "hypothetical non coding rna". The record is from RNAcentral. Lineage: Eukaryota; Viridiplantae; Streptophyta; Magnoliopsida; Asterales; Asteraceae.
GGGUUAGUUGGAAGAAUAUCACCAAUCCGAUUAAGGCAGGGGGGUUUGGGGUUGUCUUGGCUUAGAGAUGCAAACAUUGUGCUCCUUACUAAGUGGUGGUGGUGGUUUAAAAUGAAACAAAGGCUUUAUGAGGAAGGUGCUAAAAAUGGUAAAAAGAGCAUCCGAGCAGAAAAAUGGGAUCGAAGGGUCAGCAACGGAACCGUAGCAUAAAUUUUGAAAACAGGACACCCCCGCGCCAUGCGGGGAUGCUCCUUUAACUCCCGCGACGCACUCCAAUGACCAAGUAAGUGGGCCUUGGAUGGGUUAUCCAGGCGCCACGCGAGAAAGACUCGGGACUCUCCCACGACGUGCAGGAGAGGUCAGUUGCGGGUGUCACACCCCAACCGAUGGCGGA